This 435-nucleotide ribosomal RNA is filed under the name uncultured bacterium. RNAcentral's name for it is "partial 16S ribosomal RNA". It matches the Rfam family "Bacterial small subunit ribosomal RNA", at positions 29 to 507 of the family's 1533-position model. The record is from RNAcentral.
AGCGAACGCUGGCGGCAGGCUUAACACAUGCAAGUCGAGCGGGCACUUUCGGGUGUCAGCGGCGGACGGGUGAGUAACGCGUGGGAACGUGCCCUCUGGUUCGGAAUAACUCAGGGAAACUUGAGCUAAUACCGGAUACGCCCUUUUGGGGAAAGGCUUGCUGCCGGAGGAUCGGCCCGCGUCUGAUUAGCUAGUUGGUGAGGUAACGGCUCACCAAGGCGACGAUCAGUAGCUGGUCUGAGAGGAUGAUCAGCCACACUGGGACUGAGACACGGCCCAGACUCCUACGGGAGGCAGCAGUGGGGAAUAUUGGACAAUGGGCGCAAGCCUGAUCCAGCCAUGCCGCGUGAGUGAUGAAGGCCUUAGGGUUGUAAAGCUCUUUUAUCCGGGACAAUAAUGACGGUACCGGAGGAAUAAGCCCCGGCUAACUUCGUG